AACGCUGGCGGCGUAGCUUAACACAUGCAAGUCGAACGGAAAGGCCGUCUGCUGCAGAGGUACGUCGAGUGGCGACGGGUGAGUAACACGUGGGUGAUCCUGCCCUGCACUUCGGGGAUAAGGCCUGGGAAACUGGGUCUAAUACCGGAUAGGACGAUGGUUUGGAUGCCAUUGUGGAAAGUUUUUUCGGUGUGGGAUGAGCUCGCGGCCUAUCAGCUUGUUGGUGGGGUAAUGGCCUACCAAGGCGUCGACGGGUAGCCGGCCUGAGAGGGUGUACGGCCACAUUGGGACUGAGAUACGGCCCAGACUCCUACGGGAGGCAGCAGUGGGGAAUAUUGCACAAUGGGCGCAAGCCUGAUGCAGCGACGCCGCGUGGGGGAUGACGGCCUUCGGGUUGUAAACUCCUUUCGUCAGGACGAAGCGAAAGUGACGGUACCUGGAUAAGAAGCACCGGCUAACUACGUG
RNAcentral lists this ribosomal RNA (465 nucleotides) under uncultured Corynebacterium sp. Its description in RNAcentral is "bacterial SSU rRNA". It matches the Rfam family "Bacterial small subunit ribosomal RNA", at positions 32 to 507 of the family's 1533-position model. Lineage: Bacteria; Bacillati; Actinomycetota; Actinomycetes; Mycobacteriales; Corynebacteriaceae. The record is from RNAcentral.